Molecule: ribosomal RNA, 305 nt
Filed under: uncultured bacterium
Lineage: Bacteria
Description: bacterial SSU rRNA
Rfam family: Bacterial small subunit ribosomal RNA
Source: RNAcentral
CCUACGGGACGCAGCAGUGGGGGAUAUUGCACAAUGGGGGGAACCCUGAUGCAGCGACGCCGCGUGGGUGAAGGAGCGUUUCGGCGCGUAAAGCCCUAUCGGCAGGGAAGAAGGAGGACGGUACCUGACUAAGAAGCCCCGGCUAACUACGUGCCAGCAGCCGCGGUAAUACGUAGGGGGCAAGCGUUAUCCGGAUUUACUGGGUGUAAAGGGAGCGUAGACGGCAGUGCAAGUCUGAAGUGAAAGGCAAGGGCUCAACCCUUGGACUGCUUUGGAAACUGUGCUGCUCGAGUGUCGGAGAGGCA